This 604-nucleotide ribosomal RNA is filed under the name bacterium 4878K2-B16. Its description in RNAcentral is "bacterial SSU rRNA". It matches the Rfam family "Bacterial small subunit ribosomal RNA", at positions 74 to 670 of the family's 1533-position model. The record is from RNAcentral. RNAcentral also lists the same sequence under 1 other name.
GAUAGCUUGCUAUCAAUGCUGACGAGCGGCGGACGGGUGAGUAAUGCCUGGGAAUAUGCCCUGAUGUGGGGGAUAACUAUUGGAAACGAUAGCUAAUACCGCAUAAUCUCUUCGGAGCAAAGAGGGGGACCUUCGGGCCUCUCGCGUCAGGAUUAGCCCAGGUGGGAUUAGCUUGUUGGUGGGGUAAUGGCUCACCAAGGCAACGAUCCCUAGCUGGUCUGAGAGGAUGAUCAGCCACACUGGAACUGAGACACGGUCCAGACUCCUACGGGAGGCAGCAGUGGGGAAUAUUGCACAAUGGGGGAAACCCUGAUGCAGCCAUGCCGCGUGUAUGAAGAAGGCCUUCGGGUUGUAAAGUACUUUCAGUUGUGAGGAAGGCGUUGAUGUUAAUAGCUUCAGCGUUUGACGUUAGCAACAGAAGAAGCACCGGCUAACUCCGUGCCAGCAGCCGCGGUAAUACGGAGGGUGCGAGCGUUAAUCGGAAUUACUGGGCGUAAAGCGCAUGCAGGUGGUCUGUUAAGCAAGAUGUGAAAGCCCGGGGCUCAACCUCGGAACAGCAUUUUGAACUGGCAGACUAGAGUACUGUAGAGGGGGGUAGAAUUUC